Long non-coding RNA from Bubalus bubalis (water buffalo), 7356 nucleotides. RefSeq lists it as uncharacterized. The transcript is spliced from 2 exons. NCBI's taxonomy places the organism in Eukaryota, Metazoa, Chordata, Mammalia, Artiodactyla, Bovidae. The record is from RefSeq and is a predicted model, not a curated record.
UUCCCGACCCAGGAAUCGAACCAGGGUCUCCUGCACUAUGAGUGGGUUCUUUACCAACUGAGCUACCAGAGAAGCCCAAUUCUAACUGUGGGUCCUAGUAAAAUUUUUUUAAAAAAUUGAGAAACAUUGGUCAAGAACACAAUUUCUGAUAUAAUAGACUUGCGAUGAGUACCAAUAAGAGGGAGAUGAAAAGGAAAGAAGAUAGGAUUCUCUCUAUUCAAUAAGCUUCCAGUUUUCUCACCUCCAAAAUUCCAUAAAGGUGGUGACUAUUGAAGAAUGGGAUAGACUGCUUCUGAAAAUCCUGCUUUACUGGUUCCUCAGUGAACAAAAAUUCACAACUAUGUAGGAUGCAAAAGUAACCUGAUGAACUGAAAUAUCUUGUGUUCUCCAAGAGUUCCCAUCUCCUGACACCCUGGCGAAUGGCAUUCAGUAUUAGAUAGUGGUGCAUCAGGGUUCAUGACUUUGAACCAUCUGGAGUUCAAGGUUAGAGAGCUCAGUUCAUGCCCUGUGACACGUGAUGGGUUUCUCCAGAACUGGCUUCAGCCAGCACAGGACAGUUUUACACUUUUUGAUCAGGAAUGUAGGGUCUUAAGUGAUACUGCAUAAGGUUAAUACAUUUAUUAAAAAAACUACUUUUCCUCUUGAUUCUCCCAUCAAACUUGUAGAGUAGUAAAUACAUGUUCUCCAUCUUAAUUUGACAUUUGAGGAAAAGACCUAGGGAAGUUAAAUCAUGAAUCGGAGGCUGGGGCAGAUGAAUGAGUACCUGGCUCUCUUGGUUUUUUGGAGAAGGCUCUUUAGUGCACAUGUGCAGGUAUAUUGUCUCCCAAACACACUGGUCUUGGAGGCCCAGGGCCUGGUUCAGAAGGUAUUGAUAUCAAUACCAUUAUACAUUUUAUUUAUUUAUUCAUUAAUUUAUUUAUUUGGCAUGUGGUAUGUUUGAUCAUUUUUUCGGCACAUGGGAUCUUUAGUUGUAACAUGCGAGAUCUUAUUUGGGGCUUGUGGGAUCCAGUUUCCUGACUAGGGGUGGAACCCAGCCCCCUUGCAUUGGGAGCUCAGAGUCUUAACCUCUGGACCACCAGGGAAGUCACCACCAUUACACAUCUUAUACCAUUAUGUAUUUAUACAUUGAAGCUCUAUUCAAAAGGCAUUUGAAUGAAUGAAAAUUCCCUUCUCUUCUUGCUUCACCACCUCCUCUCUUUCUUAGAAAUGAGCAGAUGGAGGAAAGGUUCAUGGAACAUUUUUCCUCUAAUUGAAAUUGUGCAAAAACUGCUCUUUAAUAAUAGAUACCCACUUAAUCCUUAUGUAUAGAUGGAAAACUGUAACAUAAGUGAUUUGAUCAAGGUAAAAACUCCAGUAGAGACAGAAAAUAUGAGAAAACAGGUUUCCUGAUUCCUAUCAAGGUGAUUGCAUAGCUAUACCACAUUGGAUCCAACCAUCAUCCACUAUCAGGCUUCUAUCACAUGUCAUUAUACAUCUGUCCUGUUUACUGGUCAUAAGUUAAUGCCAGUACCACGUGUCUCAAACUUUUAGUAAGGGAGGUUGAUUGAUUUACUUAUCUUUUCAAUUUGUUCUUCAGCUGUUGACUGAGGUAGAUUACCAUUUUGGUGAGCUGACCAUUUGCCUAGCUCCCUGGAGUUGGUCUUUACAUGUCAAGGGGAUGUUAAAAACUGUAAUGAGGGGUAAUUGUAAAGAAAAUGAGUUCCCUUUUUCUUCCUCUCACUUCCAGAAUUCUCUAGAGUGUCAGGAUACAUUGACUUUAUAAUUCAGCUUGCUGUACUGUCAGGAUCCUUCCUUUCAAGUUGGAGUAGGUUUUUCCAAAAUAUGUUCUACAGAAUAGGAGAAGUUAAUAGAAUAUAUACAUUCAAAAAAGGAAUGCCAUGUCAAGUAGAUUUGGCAAACAAUGGAUUAAAUAAAGCUGCAACAUUUAUUGUAGGACUUCCAUUAAUCUUCAGGAUGGCAAUGGAAUGAAUAGUGUUCCCAAACUCAUUUGAUUAUGCACCACUCUUUUGGGGACAGUCCUUAUAUCUCUUGAAGUACUGUCAUUUGGGAAGUACUAACUGAAAUCUGGCCUCUAUAUUUAAAGCAAAUAUAUAUUUGGGUCUCUUGACCAAGGAAGACUGAUGUGGUGAGCAGGAAGGGAUGGAUCCUUAUUAGUUUUUGUUGAUCUUUUAAUAAGUCUAAACCUUUGUUUUUAAAAAUGGAAUCCCAAGUGUUAUUUAUAGGCCUCUGACCCUAAAGAAGGGAGAGAAGCUGAGGCUGGACAGUUGUUUUUACAUGAAAAAAGGAGUGCAAAUAGGGGUCUCAUUUGUAGGAUUUUCUACAUGAUAUUCUAGUAGUUCAUUCUUGUUCUGUCUUUAGACAGUGACAUUUAUAAAGCAGUCGCCAAGCUAAUGUUAUGGUUCCUGAGAUUGUUCAUAUAGAAUUACAUGGGCUGAGACCAGAGGCCCAUGGUUCCUCCUUCCUGACUCAGGUCAGGAUAAAUAGUAUCCAUUUAACUCUUGCUCCUUCUCUUCAAAAAUCAUUUGUCACUGGGUUAUUGCUCCCGAUUAACUCUCUGGUGGAGGCAUAUUUUAAUUUUUCAUUUUCUUGUGUUUAUUAGAAGAGAUUGGGGGAAAGCUACAUGCAAAGAUCUGAGUGUGAUCCUGGGAGCUGACCUGCAGUUAAAAAAUGUAAGGGAGGCAAAGAUUGUUUGCAGGUUUUCAUAUCUUUGAGGGUCCCUCCAAUGCUGGGGCCCAGUCAGGGUUCCUGGGUUCCUUUUAGCUGACAAAGCCAUUUACACUGGGCUGUCCACACAUAAUGAGUUAUACAGACUGCAGAGGAAGCAAUCCUUCACCCAGAGGGUGACAUCCUUGCCUCUGGAAUUUUCAGAUGUCAGUGAUAGGUGAAGAUGAGCUUUUUUGGCCAAGAGGAAUCUUUCAAACCAGGGACUCACCUGUGACCAGGCUAUUACUGAGACUAUGUCAAGACUCAUGUAAACCUUCAGCUGUGGAUGAGGACCCAGCUCACCUGUGCUGAAUGGACAUAUUUCUAGAUUCCUUCACAUUUGAAACGCUUGUCUCCCAUGUCUGUGAGGGAUUAGUGUUUUUCCACUUUAAAGGAAAAACAGGCCAUAAAUGACUGAGGAAUUUUAUGGGACUGUCCAAAGCACAGACUGGAAGCCAAGGGAAAAUAAAAGUCCAGCUUCUUUGUGGAAAAUCAAAUGGAAAAGAGAGAUUGCUUCCUGACAAAAGGGAGGUUCUGCCUUGUGGGAGUGGAGGGAUAAGAGACUUAGGAACUCCUCUUCUGGUGCCUCUGAGGAGUUUAGCAGAACUCUGGACCUCAAAACGAUUUGAAGGCAAAGGGAAGCAGGUGUUUGAACUGUUUGGAAAGCGGGUGAGAGGAGUGAUUAUUUUUGGUAGCAAGAUUUUUGUGUUUGGAUCAUGCUUGUUAUAGAUCCAGUAUCUUAAUUUACAUGUGCCUUAGUAAGGCAAAGAAUUCCCCAGGUCAUUCAUAUACCUGCUUCUAAUUCGAGGUUCAUUAAGUAUUGGAGAGGGAAAAGAAGGGGUGGCAUGGAAGUUUUCUGACGCUGGGAGUUUCUCUCCCAACCAGGGAGAAAGUGAACAGAUCCUGCGGGCUUGACCUCCUUAUAAAUUACAGACAAACAGAGUAGUCUAGAGCGCUGUAUGUUGCAAAACAAAAGAGGUCCGGUACGAGAAAGCACAUCAUAUACCUACAUAAAGCAGUGUCCUUUCUAGAAACUGUUUCCCAAACCAGGAAGACCCAACAAACCUAAGCCUUCAACUCGUCUCAGCUGAACUUUUCUGACAGUGGCCACACAUGACACUGUCUUUGCUUUCAUGCCUUCAUCCCAUCUCAGGAGAGGUGGGGAGACUGUGACUCGUAUUGGGUGGGGGAUGGUAAAUACAAUCAUUUCACUGUCAUUUUUUGGUUUCAGAACUGGAGUGAAUCUAAAUGAAUCAUAACAGUUGCAUUUAAUAAAUUCUCUUGGGUAUUGGCUAAUUUUAAACCGGUCUGACAAGUUUUAAGGUCCAUGUGGUUUGGGAAAUUCACUGGUGCAUUUCCUCAUUUGGUCACCCCUUAUUUCCCUCCAGCCUCGUUCCUUUACAGCAAGCUGAUCUACUUGGCACGGUUAUCUUUGCUCAUCUGAGGUUGAGAGGAGGGGAGGCUGGGGAGGGGCUGAGCUGAAGGUCAUGCAAGAAGCAUUCAGGCCUCUCUCGUGAGCCAGCACCGCUGGGAAUUCCCCAGGGUCUCUGGGAGCUGGCCUUCAGCUCACAGAGGCCACCAGGUGAAAGACCACCACUUACCAGGAGGCUCCCACCUGGCAGAUGGAGCUGGAGAGGGGGCAAAACUCUGAUUGCGGAAAUGAAAGUAUCUCAGCAUUUUGCUUUUCAUCAAAGUCACUGCCUCCACUCCAGGCAUGAGCAGCUUUAGCUGGCCUAUCAACAUUGACUUUCUCCCUUGGCUCUAUUAUCAUGGUGGUUAAUGGAUGCCAGGUCUGUGGUUGUUGUUUUUUUUUUUUUUUUCUGGUGGGGGUGGUGAGAAAUUAUUUAUUAUCAGAGUGAGAUCUUCUGGGCUAUGAGGAAGUUCAGGGAGCCCCGAGACAGCUUCAUUGGAGACAAUCAUUACCAGAAUCAUCCCCAAUCUCAGGUUGUCCGCCUUUCCCCUCCCUUCUCUGCUGGAUGUUCAGCCCUGUGGAUGUUUUAUAGCUCACCUGAGCAGGUUCCCCCAGUAGCCUGGGUUUUGAUAAUCGUUUGCCUCACAGGGCAAGCAAUACAGUGAUUGAAAUAUUCCUGUGAAGAUUUUUAAAAACCAAAACAAGAACAACAAAACCGUUUAAACCACUGAAACAGUUUAACAGUGCAGAGCCCUUUCCUUGCUUAACACAUGCAGUUCAGAAUGACAUCCACGAAGACCAUAUUUUUACAGUAAGAGGAUAACUCCAUUCCAGGCCGCAGUGUGGACAGAGAGGAUGGUUCUGCCUGAAGUAAAUUCUGACCUACCCACCAAAAGAAAGCUGGGAAGGGGUGCUGCAAGGUGCAGAUACCAUCACCUUCUGCAUUCUCUGUCUGACACCGACAUUGUUCUAUUGUGAUGGAAGAUUUGCUUUAAUAAGGAGGGCAGUGAAAAGCUCAGUCCAGGUUCUCAGGAGGUUUCGAGUAAAGGCAGCAUUUGCCCCUCCUUCUGUGGUCCGUCACUGCUAGCUGUUGAAGGAGGGAGGUGUCAAGCAUCUCUGUUCUUGCCUUUUCUCUUCCUCAUUUCUAGAUCAUUAGAGCAUUCACUUGUUCAUUCAAUAAAUCAUUAGAGAGCCCCUGCCUUGGGCCAGGCAUCAAGCUAGGUCCUGGGGGUAUCACUAGGGUCAUGACUGAUAUAUGUACGUUGACCUCUGAGGGCUUCUACUCAGAUGGGGAACAGAUAAGUAAAUGGGCAGUUAUGUAGUAUGAACAGCGCUGUGAUUUUGGCUGUGGGGAUACUUGAAAGGGACCUCAAUCUAGAUUGUGGGAUAGGGGGAGGCUUUUGGGAGAAGGUCACAUUUUAGCAGAGGCCUGAAAUGAGAAACUGGAAACAUGACUGUGUUGUGAGAUGGACUGGCGGGUGGGAGUAGGUUGGAGGUGUGGGCUAGAGUAAUGUUUUUUUGUCAGCUGGACCCUCCCUCCACCACCCUCCCUCUCUUGCUGUCUCCCUCCCUCCCUUUCUCCCUCCUCUCUCCCUUCUUUCCUUGAGAGAAUCUUUGGACCAUGAGGAGCUGCUUCGGGUGCAUAGUAAUUUAUAUGUCCUGUGGCAAGUGAGGAAUGACGAUUCCAGAGAAGCAUGGAACUUCAAACCCACAGUGGAUUUCAGAGGACAUUACCUAACCCUCUGUCUCCUGCCCUCACUCUUCCUUGAUUUCGCCAGUGAAGAAAAUGAAGUUCAAGAACUAAUGUGACUUGCCCAGGCCCCUCAACUGAUGAACAGCAGGACCUGGACUGGAACACACACCUCUUUUGGCUCUGUUACUUGCCAGACACAGUUCCAGUGCUUUACAUGCCUGAUAUUUAAUCUUUAUUAACAUCUCUAUGUACUAGAGCUGCUUCCCUGGAGGCUUAGAUGGUAAAGAGUCUGCCUGCAAUGUGGGAGACAGGGGUUCAAUCCCUGGGUCAGGAAGAUCCCCUGGAGAAGAAAAUGGCAACCCACUCCAGUAUGCUUGCCUGGGAAAUCCCAUGGACGGAGGAGCCUGGCAGGACAGUGUCUAUGGGGUCACAAAGGGUCAGACACGACUGAGCGACUAACACACUAUAUACCGUCUGUGAUAUUAUUUCUUGUUUACAGAUGAGGAAACUGAUCUCCAGAGAGUUUAACCCCCCUCCGCCCCGCCCCAAGGUCACACAACUAGCUCAGGAGAAAGGAUUUGAACCUAGCCUGACUGCAGAGACUACCCCAUCUCCACAUUGCUGAUUACUACCCUACACUCCCUCCUACCAGAAUCUCAAUUUGCAGUAUUUCUGCUACCUUGACAUUUUUCCUACCCUCACAGAGCUGCUGUCUUUUCAGAGAGAAAAGAUGGCUUCAGUACAACACAGAUGAGAAAGCCCAGCUGAGGGAAGGGUUGGCUGAGGAAGUAGCCUGUCAGUUCACCUCUUGGGAUUCAUUUUCUUCAUUAGUGAAGUAAUGUUCUCUGAAGUGCACUGGCUGGUAGGUCGCUGGCUGGACUUCAGACCAAUAGCUGAUGACUGUCACGAGGCAGAGGAGUUCAGACUUGGUCUUGAUCAGUUCGGGGUGGUGGUGGGUGUCAGUAUAAGGUUCUAGGCAGUGGGACAUGAAGAAUGAAAACCUGAGAGGCUUUUUUCUUCCAACCAUGUUUCUCUGGAGACUGAUCUCCCAAGAGGACACACCUGGUCACUGAGGUCCACAGGGGAACUUAUUGCCUUUGGUUGCAUUCAAGUUCCUCUUCAGAUGAGGAAGGUUGAGUCAGGAUUUGGACUUCUAGGAAGCUCUCACUCUCAACUAGAGUUCUGUCUUUGCAAUGGUACCUCCACUUCUGCUCAUCAUCCCCUCUACUGCCCCUCCCCGCAGUAUUCCUAACAUUCCUACCCACCCCUACCAAGGAAUCCUGGAUGGGGUUUCAUCAUUGGUACUGACGGAUAUUCUUCUAAGUCGGUGCAUUUUCUUCUGCUAACCUCUGUUUCAGUACUAUGGGGACUUCAUAGGGAAAUGUUCUCCUUAGGGGAAUGUUUUCCCCUUCGGAUGGCCCUCCUUCUAUCUGCAUAACAGCAAGAAAACACUACUGCCACCUAGUGGGACUUCAGAGUGUGACCUUCGGCGCUCCUCCUCCUGACCCCAGCACAUUAUUUCUGUUAUUAAAAUUUUAGCUAAGGAGCA